AAUGCACCAAUUUGUAAGUCGCUCUGGAUACAGAGCGUCUGCUAAAUGACGUAAA
Non-coding RNA from Salmo salar (Atlantic salmon), 55 nucleotides. The record is from Rfam. NCBI's taxonomy places the organism in Eukaryota, Metazoa, Chordata, Actinopteri, Salmoniformes, Salmonidae.